AAUCGUUGCGCCGUUGAAAUUUCCAUCGGAAAUCGUCUGACCUGUCUGACUGUCGGGGAUAAUGCUUCACUUUUCCUGCAUUAUAAAUGUGCAAAAACGGUUAAUUAAAAAAAGUAAUUAAGGUGAUACUGCUGGACAUUUAAAGACUCUCUGCCUGACAGUAAAUUAUUACACCAGAGACCAGAUCGCCUUCAAUUUGCUAUGAAAAUUUUAGUACCUUAUAACACAAGGUACAGUCCUGCAUUUCUGACCGGUUUCGCUUUUAAGGUUCAUCCCGCGCGGACGCUUAUCGCUUGCGUCGGCUUCACGUCUUAGCUGCGUCGCAGUUCCACCUUGGUGUGUAAAGGUAAAACCAUCCGUUGAGGAAAAUGAUUACAGAGUGGCAAACCUGUUGAAUAGUGUAAGUCGCUUCCGCAGGAAAUGCAGCUCUGGAUUUUUCCACUCGCGCUGGCCCUUAACCGCCAUUCAUUGAAAAAAUAGCUGGGUUAUGUCUGUUGGCAGAUUAACACUCAAUGCUUACGUGGCGCUUUCGGCUGUAACAAUACCUGGCUAGGCAACCUAGCUGCGACACAGCGGUUACACCGACGAAACGGACAAUUGCGGCCAUGGGCAAAAAGGCUGCGGGAGGGCAGAAUUUCAGUUAAUAAACCUAAUAAAGGUUUUUGGCGCCUUCCUUCUUUACAGAGUUAAACACAGAGUUCAAGUCCAGCGGGCGGCAACUGCCCUUCUGCUCGACGAGUCAUGAGACCAGGUCGGUCAAGUUAUGCCGCCGUUUGAGGCAAAGAGC
RNAcentral lists this long non-coding RNA (787 nucleotides) under Volvox carteri. Its description in RNAcentral is "long non-coding RNA (VCAR_LNC001679)". Lineage: Eukaryota; Viridiplantae; Chlorophyta; Chlorophyceae; Chlamydomonadales; Volvocaceae. The record is from RNAcentral.